CCUACGGGAGGCUGCAGUGGGGAAUAUUGCUCAAUGGGCGAAAGCCUGACGCAGCGACGCCGCGUGAGGGAUGAAGGUCUUCGGAUCGUAAACCUCUGUCAGCAGGGAAGAACGGUCACGGUGCUAAUCAGCAGCGAAUUGACGGUACCUGCAAAGGAAGCACCGGCUAACUCCGUGCCAGCAGCCGCGGUAAUACGGAGGGUGCGAGCGUUAAUCGGAAUUACUGGGCGUAAAGCGCUCGUAGGCGGUAUGGCAAGUCAAGGGUGAAAUCCCCGGGCUCAACGUGGGAACUGCCUUUGAAACUGGCAGGCUGGAGUGUGUGAGAGGGUAGUGGAAUUCCAGGUGUAGGGGUGAAAUCCGUAGAUAUCUGGAGGAACAUCAGUGGCGAAGGCGACUAUCUGGCACAUAACUGACGCUGAGGAGCGAAAGCGUGGGGAGCAAACAGGAUUAGAUACCCCAGUAGUC
RNAcentral lists this ribosomal RNA (465 nucleotides) under uncultured bacterium. RNAcentral's name for it is "partial 16S ribosomal RNA". It matches the Rfam family "Bacterial small subunit ribosomal RNA", at positions 338 to 795 of the family's 1533-position model. The record is from RNAcentral.